UGAUAAAGCUCCCCUUGUGCUCAUGAAGAUGAUGACGGCACAAAUCUGGGAUGGCCUACUUUCCGAGGCGGCUCACAGAUGACUAAACGAGAAUCAGGAUCUUUAUUUUCCUUCAGAGAGGCUCCAAAAACGGAUACCAAUUUCAAAGACAGAUUAAGUCAGGAAAGUGGGAGAGAGACUGGGAUGACAAAGGGCCGUGGGUCGGAACCGAACCUCUGGCAGCUGCAACAAGGACUGAGCCUCUGGACAUGGGGCGCACGCUCAACCAGUUCAUUGUCAUCUACACAGCGUGACCCUCCAGAGGAUAAAGACCACUGACUUUGGGGAUUUCCUGACUUUUCCUGAAGAGCCACCAUGAGGUUGACAUUUGUGGCUUUUGGGUGAAAUGUCUCGACAACGAAGGGAUGGAUUGCUAUGAAAUUUGGUUCUGAUAUCCAUGUCCCCUUCAGGAUGAAGUGUAAUAACCUAAGUGAUCCCUUAGGUCGGUUACACACUGGCUGCGUGGCGUGAGCGUGGCGUUUCUGUUGCGUGUCAGCUGCGUGUAUUUUUCUAUGUCUUUACACA
Long non-coding RNA from Perca fluviatilis (European perch), 564 nucleotides. RefSeq lists it as uncharacterized. NCBI's taxonomy places the organism in Eukaryota, Metazoa, Chordata, Actinopteri, Perciformes, Percidae. The transcript is spliced from 4 exons. The record is from RefSeq and is a predicted model, not a curated record.